This 429-nucleotide ribosomal RNA is filed under the name Chloroflexota bacterium. RNAcentral describes it as "Chloroflexi bacterium partial 16S ribosomal RNA". It matches the Rfam family "Bacterial small subunit ribosomal RNA", at positions 355 to 776 of the family's 1533-position model. Lineage: Bacteria; Bacillati; Chloroflexota. The record is from RNAcentral.
UGGGGAAUAUUGCACAAUGGGCGCAAGCCUGAUGCAGCCAUGCCGCGUGUGUGAAGAAGGCCUUCGGGUUGUAAAGCACUUUCAGCGGGGAGGAAGGCGGUGAGGUUAAUAACCUCACCGAUUGACGUUACCCGCAGAAGAAGCACCGGCUAACUCCGUGCCAGCAGCCGCGGUAAUACGGAGGGUGCAAGCGUUAAUCGGAAUUACUGGGCGUAAAUCGCACGCAGGCGGUCUGUCAAGUCGGAUGUGAAAUCCCCGGGCUCAACCUGGGAACUGCAUUCGAAACUGGCAGGCUAGAGUCUUGUAGAGGGGGGUAGAAUUCCAGGUGUAGCGGUGAAAUGCGUAGAGAUCUGGAGGAAUACCGGUGGCGAAGGCGGCCCCCUGGACAAAGACUGACGCUCAGGUGCGAAAGCGUGGGGAGCAAACAGG